This 80-nucleotide non-coding RNA is filed under the name unclassified sequences. The record is from Rfam.
UAGUAGCACUUAUAGGAACUGUCUGGAGUGCCUACGAAAGUAGGAAUAAUGCACAUUAAAUUAAAUCCUUGUGCAAGGUA